This is a long non-coding RNA of Mercenaria mercenaria, 5802 nucleotides long. RefSeq lists it as uncharacterized. The record is from RefSeq and is a predicted model, not a curated record. The transcript is spliced from 2 exons. Lineage: Eukaryota; Metazoa; Mollusca; Bivalvia; Venerida; Veneridae.
UUUUUCAGGUUUAAAACGACAGGAAGACAGUGUUCUACAUCGUUGAAAGAAAAAGAAUCGAUUCCAGAUCGUGCCGUCCUGUGUUUGUUGUUUUCGACAGUUGAAGGGAGAGUCCGGUGUAUGCCAGAUACUAUCUAUUGAUUUCAGACACUCUAGUGAGAAAUAUAUGCAGAAGAAAGAACCAAGUAUGAUAAAUCCACGACAGACCUGGCACAAGCAUAAAGCAUGACGCCACAACAGCCUCCACGACAAAAGCAUAGUUAAACAAAUUAGACAUAAGCUAACUUGUAUAUAAUUAUACCCCAACGUACAAAGUAUAUUGGGCUAUGUUGGAGUCACGCAUGUCCAGUCCAUCCGUCCGUCCGUUCGUUUGUCCACUAUGGCCGCUGGUAUGAUUUUCAUACUACUGACAUAAAUUAUAAACCACAUCAGGACGAUGUACAGAGCGCUCAACCUAGGUCACAAGGCCCAAGGUCAAGGUUACUCGUGGAGGUCAAAGGUCAAAUACCUUAGCUUUAUGUCCGCUCUAAUUGUCUAAACGGCUUUAAAACAUUUAGCUUGACUGUUAGAAGAUUAAGGAGGAUUACUGUACCUGCCCUGACGUCUGUGUCACUGUCACCGUUGCAUUGAAAGUUAAAAUUUUAGGACAAGCUUCUUAGCGUCACUGUAUAUCUUCUUACUACUGCCCUUAUUUAAAAUAAUUUAACAUGAGACUUCACAUAAGUGUUGGUCUUGGUAAGAGAAAGACAUCUACAUGUAUUAGUUUAGGAACAAGUAUCAUAAAUGUCAAAGUCACUGUCUUAAAUAUUGUGAUAGUGCUGGUUAAAGUUUCAUGAUGAGCUUCUCAAUUUCACAAUAAACCUCACAUAAGGAUUGAUCUUAGAACUUGGCAGAAAUCUUUUUGUUUAGGGUCGGGUUGCUCAAAGGUCAAGGUUACUGGGGUCAGAUUUUGUAACAGUGUUGGUUAAAGUCUUGUGGCACAUUUCUCAAUUUGACUUAUAUCUCAUAACGUUUCCUAGAACUGGUAUCCCUCAUGUCCUAUCCUUUUUAGCUAUACCCAUACUUCAUCUACGUUCCUCCCGACAUCAAGCCAAAAAUGCAUUCCAUACAAAAACUUAUAUUUCAUGUUUCCAUCAACUCCUCUACUCCGCUGUCUUCACCUACCACCUCCACCCCAUUUUACCUAACCUUUACCCUCGCCCCUUACCCCGCCCCCUCCAUAAAAAGGAUAAAAAACUCCUUUUCGAUCUCACACAGUUACUUGUAAUGAUAACAAAAUCUUGUUAAACAUUUUCCUUAUAGUCGAGCAGACACAAUUAACUCAGAUCGCUAGGUCCAAGGUCAAGGUCACACCUAAAAAUCAAAAGUUAUGAUGACAAAAAUUUACUUUCCCUUUAUCAAAGUGAGGUCUGAGGUAUUAAUCGACGUCAGUGAUGACCUUAGUUGAUCAGGUGUUAGUGGCAUAAAUGUGUAACAUUUGCUUUAUUGGGGGUAGUGGGGUGGGUGUGGGGGAUAAAGGAAUGGUCUCUGUCCAUUCGUCUGCUCGUCCGUCUGCCCUUCCGUAACACUUUUAUGUCCUAAGCCACUUGAAGGAUUUUCAUGAAACUAGGGUCAAAUGAUCACAUCAAGACGAUGCUCAGAACUUAUGAGUUUGCCAUGUCGGCUCAAGGUCAAGGUCACAACUCAAGGUCAAAGGUUUUAGCCUUCCAUUUCGUGUCCGUUCUGUAUCUCUUAAACCUCUUGAAGGAAUUUUAUAAAACUCGGGUCAAAUGAUCACCUCGGCAAGAGGAUGUGCGGAACUUAUGAGUCAGCCAUGCCGGCUCAAGAACAAGGUCACAACUUAGGGUUAAAGGUUUGAACCUUCCAUUUUGUGUCCGCUUUGUAUCUCCUAAACCCCUUAAAAGAUUUUCCUGAAACUUGGGUCAAAUUAUCACUUCAUCAAGACACUGUGUAGAACUCAUGAGUCAGCCAUGUUGGCUCAAGGUCAAGGCCACAACUUGGGAUCAAAGGUUUGAGCCUUCCAUUUUGUGUCCACUCUGUAUCUCCUAAACCCCUUGAAGGAUUUUCAUUUAACCUUGUCAAAUGAUCACCUCAUCAAGAUGAUGUGCAGAAUCUGUGAGUUAGCCAUGCCGACUCAAGAUCAAGUUCAUAAAGGUAUGAGUCUUCCAUUUUGUGUACACUAUAUCUCCUAUACCCCUUGAAGGAUUUUCAUUAAACUUGGACCAAAUGAUUACCAUAUCAAGAACUCAUGAUUCGGCUAUGUCAACUCAAGGUCAAAGUCACAACUCAAGGUCAAAAGUUUGAGCUCUGUAUAUUCUAAACCCCUUUUUCAGAAAACUUUGAUCAAAUGAUCAACUCCUCAAGAAUUCAUAAGUCAGUCAUGGCAGUUCAAGGUUAAGGUCACAGCUCAAGGUAAAACGUUCAAGUUACCCUUUUACUAUCCAUAUCAGUGGCGGGGGUUUUAGCUGUCUUUCAGACUGCCAUGUAAUCAUUGAUUUUAGGGCGGGAGAUAUUUGUUUGUUUCAGUGUAAGAUCGAUCAAAUCAUUCUAAAUACAGCUUAUUACAAUGUAAACUCUGGUGUUCAAGCGUGAAAAAUAAUCGAUUUUACUAUAAAUCAAAGAAAUUUUAUAUUAUGCAAUUAAAUAUAUGUAUACUAUAAAUCAAAGAAGUUUUAUAUUAUGUAAUUAAAUAUAGAUCUACGUGUACUAAAUUGUACACAUUUUACAAGUAUAACAUCUCACCCAGCGCGUAACGUUAUAAUUCAUAUUCUUUCGUGUUAAAUUGAUGUUGCGUGCAAGUGAAAACUGUAUUUGGAUUUCUUACUUCUGAAACAGUGGGUUUAUCAGGGUAUAACCUAUCGUUAUAUUUCAAUAAUAGCUGAAAACAUGGCAAGAAAUUCAAUAAAACUAUAAAAUGUAGCGAUAAAAUCAUAGCUCUUUUAUUUAUUCAAACACACUUUCUACUGCACUUUGUCUGGUUGGUAUUAAGUAAUUUUAGCCUCAUUUCUUGUUCACUGAAUUUUACACUGUUUGGUAUAACACAUAAUCGACACCUUACUUUAUGCACUAGCAUUAACUCGUGAGGCUAAAAUGACUUUUGAAGCAACUCUGUCCAUUGUCAGUAGAUCUAACAAUGUGUUAAUCUGGUAAAUCUUUAAGAACGAUGGGUCGAAAGUUUAGCUGAUCAAAUAUUUAGUAGAAUUGCUGGCAAAUUUUUAGGUUUUAGACCUCGCUUUAAAUGAUUACUGGAAUAUAACGUUAAAUUAUAACAUGAUAAACUCAUUGUUUCAAACGGAGAGAAACUAAAAUAGAAUCUAUGAUUUUUCACUAGUACGGAACAACACUUGAACGCAAAAGGAUAUUAAUUGUAUGUAAGAACUGGAAAUUUGCUUCAAAUAGAAAAAAGUCUCUAUUAUACUUCUUACAAAAACACUAAAAUAAUACACGCCAAACUAUUAAAACCUAAAAGAAAUAUGUAUAUCGCGUAGACAUAUUUAACUUUAUUCCAACAGCAUUGUGACGUCAUGAAAUAUAGCAUGACGUUACACAUGGCGCAGGUCUCAGCGCAGUUAAUUAAACAAGAUAACAUGAGAUAAAUUUAUUUUAACUCUGCAAGAUAAUAAAGCGGUACAAAAAGAAGCGAUGAGUUUUUCAAUUAGUAAUAAAUUAAGAAUUAAAAUGAACGUGCAAUACAUGUAUACAUAUAUAAAUCUGGUAUAAUAAUAAUAAUGAUGAUGAUGAUGAUGAAGAUAGAUAAGUUUUUAAAUUAAUUAAACAUUAAGAAUAAAGAUGAAGGCGCAAUACAUAUAUACAUAUAUAAAUCUGAUAUAAUAAUAAUAAAAAUAAUAAUAAUGAUGAAUCAACUUUCUCGUAAUGCCGAAAAUUAACUUUCACUCGGGAACACCAGUUUUCACUUUAUUCGGUGAAAGAAAUUUCGAUCUUAUACGGAAACCAACACAUGUCCCAUUUCUAUAUAUUUUUACAGCAGUAGUAGGUAACAAACAUCCAUAGUUUGAGGAUAUAUGGCUUAAAAGUAAGUUUUCACAACCUAGGACUGAAAUCAUUUUAACUGCUGUUAGAUAUUUUUUGUUUUAUGUUCCCAAGAUAUUCCCGUGAAGAAAUUUCACUUCACAUUAUUAUUCCUCAAGACCAGAUGACAAUGUCAUGUUGAAGACAUCUAUGCCUGAUGGCCAAAGCCAAAGGUCACAUUUCAAGGUCAAAGGUCAGAUAUUUAGUUUUUGAUCCAUAAGUUCUGUGCCUAGGAGGGUUUUAUUACUUAAUGGAUUUGAUUCAAACUAAAAAUAUUGUUCAACAUCUUCACCCAUAUCAUAUGACACAAGGUUCAUAACUCUUACACCAAUAUUUCAUAACUUAUGCCGCCCCCUCUCCCAUUUUUACUUAGAAUUUAAGGUUAAAGUUUUUAUACGAUUUCACACUCAGUUAUUACUAAAUGGAUUUGAUUCAGACUUACAAUAGAUGUUCCAUCUUAUUAACCACAUCAUGUGACACAAGAUGCUUAACUCUGACACCAAUUUUUCAUGAAUUAUGUCCCCUUUUACUUAGAAUUUAAGGUUUUGAUGCAUUUCCACUAUAUUUUAGUUAUUACUAAAUGGAUUCAAACAAAAAAGAUGUUCCUCCUUUUCAACCACAUCAUGUGACACAAGGCGCAUAGUUCUGACACAAUUUUUUCAUGAAUUUUGUCCCCUUUUACUUUGUAUUUAAGGUUAAUUUUGAUGCAUUUUCAGUAUAUCUUAUAUAUACAACUUUUGUGCCUGGAAGGGGUUUAUUACUUAAUGGCUUUGAUUCAAACUUAAAAUAGUCGUUCCACAUCAUCACCCACAUUAUAUGGCACAAGGUGCAUAACUCAUGCACCAAUAUUUCCUGAAUAAUGCCCCCUUUUUGGUAAAAAAAUUACUUGUUUCAUGUUUUGAAAUUGUUACACUUUAUCUGCACCUCUCUCAUAAUUUGAAAUAUUAACACAGACUCAAGCUGUUGUGAAACAAUUAUCCACCAUUGUAGUCAUUAAACACUAUAGUGACAGUUCUUGACAGAUUUAAAUUUUUUGCCACACAGGUGUAACAUCAUAAAAUACAAUUUUGAUGCAUUUUCACUAUGUCUCAGUUAUUACGAUAUGCAAAUGAUUCAAACUUGAAGUAGAUGUUCCACAUCAUCACCCACAUCAUAUGGCACAAGUUGUAUAACUCUUGCACCAAUAUUUUCUGAAUUAUGUCCCCUUUUCGGUUGGAAUUGUACUAAUAUAGUGUUUUCAUACACUUUAUUUGUACCUCUCUUAUAACUUGAUAUUUUUAACACAGACCAGGCUAUUGUGCAAUUUUCAUCCACCAUUGGAGUCAAAUCAAACACUUCAGUGACAAUUCUUGACAGAUAUAAAUGUUUUCGUACACAGGUCACCAACUGAACACACAUCAUAAAAUACAGGUCAAGUUCGAUUUAAAUUGCACUUUCUUUUGGACAUGACUUUCUUAUGAUUGCCAUUCUUCUGUGACAAGACGGUAUUGUGGGGGUAUUCGUCACUCCAGUGACAGUUCUAGUUCUGCUUGCUGGUUGUUUCUUAAUGACAGUCAAAACUUUAUAUAUAUUCCUUCGAUAACAUUUUUUCUGGCGGUGUUUUACGUGUUUAGUGAAAGCAUAGUUCAAAGCAAUGAUUUUAUUGUACAUGUAUUCAAUUUUAAAAACAUUCUUCAGAUUGAAUAUUUUCAUUAUGGUUAUACUCUACAAUGUCAUUUGUGACUACGUAUGCUAUUUAUUGCAGCUUGAGAAAUGAAUAAAAUACCAUACAGU